RNAcentral lists this long non-coding RNA (236 nucleotides) under Elaeis guineensis (African oil palm). RNAcentral's name for it is "long non-coding RNA (EGUI_LNC014376)". The record is from RNAcentral. Lineage: Eukaryota; Viridiplantae; Streptophyta; Magnoliopsida; Arecales; Arecaceae.
GCUAUUAAUUUGAUUUAUCAUCAAAUAUAUUUAAUUUUAUGAUCAUAAAAUUUAGUUAUUCGACUUAUAUCCACAUUUAUAUCUAUACUUUUAAUAUUCGAUUUAUAUCCGUAUUCUUUUAAAACAAAUAUGGAUAUGAAUUUUUGUAUCUAAAUAAUAUCCAUAUCUAUAUUUGUAUUUAUAUUUAUUUAAUAAAAUAAAUAUAAAUAUGGAUACACUGAUAUUAAAUCUGUAUC